RNAcentral lists this ribosomal RNA (554 nucleotides) under uncultured bacterium. Its description in RNAcentral is "partial 16S ribosomal RNA". It matches the Rfam family "Bacterial small subunit ribosomal RNA", at positions 355 to 900 of the family's 1533-position model. The record is from RNAcentral.
UAGGGAAUCUUCCACAAUGGACGCAAGUCUGAUGGAGCAACGCCGCGUGAGUGAAGAAGGUUUUCGGACCGUAAAGCUCUGUUGUCGGUGAAGAAGGAUAGAGGUAGUAACUGGCCUUUAUUUGACGGUAAUCAACCAGAAAGUCACGGCUAACUACGUGCCAGCAGCCGCGGUAAUACGUAGGUGGCAAGCGUUGUCCGGAUUUAUUGGGCGUAAAGCGAGCGCAGGCGGAAGAAUAAGUCUGAUGUGAAAGCCCUCGGCUUAACCGAGGAAUUGCAUCGGAAACUGUUUUCUUGAGUGCAGAAGAGGAGAGUAGAACUCCAUGUGUAGCGGUGGAAUGCGUAGAUAUAUGGAAGAAUACCAGUGGCGAAGGCGGCUCUCUGGUCUGCAACUGACGCUGAGGCUCGAAAGCAUGGGUAGCGAACAGGAUUAGAUACCCUGGUAGUCCAUGCCGUAAACGAUGAGUGCUAAGUGUUGGGAGGCUUCCGCCUCUCAGUGCUGCAGCUAACGCAUUAAGCACUCCGCCUGGGGGAGUACGACCGCAAGGUUGAAAC